AACAAGAUGUAGUUCUCUCAGCUUGUGAUAAUAUGUAAACACCUGCACUUCAUUCAACUUAUUUACAGGAUGCCUUUUAGCAAUUGAAUUAUGACAUGCCAACUUAACACGUAGUGGACCUAGUUCAAAAAAAACAAGCUCUUUAUGUCGAGGAAGGAAUUCUUGAGAAUCUGGUGAGUAAUCUUGGAAACAAUUGGGCAAUCUGUAGGUUCUUCACUUGCUCUCAUCGCUAAAUUACUCCAUUCAUUCUGAUAUCUGGACUUGCUACCUCUGAUUUACUUGGAGAUCAUCAACAAGAGGACAAUCAAGCACUGCUGUUGGAUUUGACUUGCUUCGAUUUACUAUAAGUAGUAAAAUCGUUCUCAAAAUCCACCAACCCAAUGGACUCUGGGGAGAAAGGUUCAGCCUGAUGUAUGCUAUUAGCAUUGAAAGUUGUCCCGAUCAUAGCAAGAUCAAUCAAACUUUUACCUAGCUGAGUUAUCUUCAUCUCAAUCAUAGUAUCUUCGAGGAGCAAACUGUUAUUGGACUACACGUCGCACAUGUCCAAUAGUAGGAAUAAUCGGCGCUUCUCUGAGAGCUUCACAAAAGCAAUGUGUGUUUCAUCAACGUUCAGAUCAGAUAUUGGAGUUUUCUGUAAACUGGCGGAGCUGUUGGAGACUUUGGCAUCAUAAAUUGCAGCAAGACUGAAAUCCUGAAUUGCACCUCCAGGUGUUCUAGAAAAUUAGUCAUGUUUGCCUCCUAUGUUAUCUUCUGAUAAAUCUGUUCUUUCCAAAUGCUUUAAGAGGUUGAAAUAAAUACAAACUACAGAAGCAUCAUGGUCGUUGAUGUAUUCAAAUUCUGUAUUCUUCAAGGAAUCACAAGUGGGCACAGUUUCGUCUAAAGGAACCAAACCAUCUGAUCAACUUGGAGAAAUAUCCAUGGUUCUAAGGAUGGAAAGGGUGCUAACUAUGCUAUUUGAAGCAGAAGACUGGUAAUGUAACUAGGAAUGCAACCUCAGGUGUCCUCAACUUUCUUCUUAUAAUCAAGGAUGAUGAGUUUAUUGCAUAUGAACCUACAAGGCGAGCUUUGCCAGUUGGAAAUUUCUGUUAUAUGCUUCACUCGCUGAUGUCUUUUGGACUAGAGGUCUGUUGGCCACAUGGAUGCUGCUGCUCAUUGCCUCACUCUUCCUUUUAACCAGAAGAAGUCCACUUCUAACUGUCUUGGUAUAACCAUUCUGUCCAUGAGUCACCAGAAGCAUCAAGCACUCUGUCAUCAAUGAAACUAGAGAACAUCUGUCUGCUUGUAAUUGAUAAAAUGAAUUGUGAAGCAACUUUUCAGGAUCACCA
Molecule: long non-coding RNA, 1325 nt
Organism: Vitis vinifera (wine grape)
Lineage: Eukaryota; Viridiplantae; Streptophyta; Magnoliopsida; Vitales; Vitaceae
Exons: 2
Source: RefSeq, a predicted model, not a curated record